RNAcentral lists this ribosomal RNA (440 nucleotides) under uncultured bacterium. Its description in RNAcentral is "partial 16S ribosomal RNA". It matches the Rfam family "Bacterial small subunit ribosomal RNA", at positions 338 to 795 of the family's 1533-position model. The record is from RNAcentral.
CCUACGGGAGGCUGCAGUGGGGAAUAUUGCACAAUGGGGGAAACCCUGAUCCAGCGACGCCGCGUGAGCGAUGAAGUAUUUCGGUGUGUAAAGCUCUAUCGCCAGGGAAGAAAAUGACGGUACCUGACUAAAAAGCCCCGGCGAAAUACGUGCCAGAAGCCGCGGUAAUACGUAGGGGGCAAGCGUUAUCCGGAUUUACUGGGUGUAAAGGGAGCGUAGACGGCGGUGCAAGCCAGGUGUGAAAGCCUGGGGCUCAACCCCGGGACUGCAUUUGGAACUGUGCUGCUAGAGUGUCGGAGAGGCAGGCGGAAUUCCUAGUGUAGCGGUGAAAUGCGUAGAUAUUAGGAGGAACACCAGUGGCGAAGGCGGCCUGCUGGACGAUGACUGACGUUGAGGCUCGAAAGCGUGGGGAGCAAACAGGAUUAGAUACCCGGGUAGUC